This 3964-nucleotide long non-coding RNA is filed under the name Vitis vinifera (wine grape). RNAcentral's name for it is "long non-coding RNA (VVIN_LNC003124)". Lineage: Eukaryota; Viridiplantae; Streptophyta; Magnoliopsida; Vitales; Vitaceae. The record is from RNAcentral.
GUAGACUUUGGAUUUCUUAAAGAAACCUAUAAAUAGGCUAAUCAAUGUAAAUCAAAGGAAUGAAUUUUGAUGAAUAAUAUUAUACUUUCUUUUAUUGCAAGAUUGCAACCCUCAAUGGUGAGACUCCAUUGAUUUUUCUUCUAGGUGAAACUCCUAGAAGGCCUUAGUGAGACUCUAAGGUUUUCCAUCUUUUCUUCAUUGUUUCUUCUUUCUCUCUAUUUCUUAUCUUAUAAUUUUCUCUACCAUAAAGUUUAUUCCUUGUUCCUCUCCUUACACCCUAAAAAUAAAACCCUAGCCCACUUACCCUUGAGUGUAGGCAACCAUCCUAGGGUUGUCCUACAUCAAUUUUGGUAUCAGAGCCAAAGUUCUUGGCAUGAAGGCAUAUGCAAUUAAGGAGCGGAGCAACUUAUGAAAGCAUGAGUUUUAAAAAAACUUCUAGCAAUCAAGAUGGCGCUACAAUACACUUAGAGAAAAUUUCAGCCACACAACAAUCCCAUCAAGAUGCUAUAAUACAACUAAAUAGCAAACUUGAUGAGAUCAUGAAGUUAUUAGAAAAGAGCUAAGAAAAACGACCAAUUGAAGAGGAGAUCGCAAGUCAUCAAUUUAGACAGUCGCCAAGUCGAUCACGCGAAGAACAAGACAAUUUUAUGAUGGUGAAUCAAAGAAGGGCCAAACUUUUUGAGCUAGGUGAUGAUGUGACAAAAAAGGUACGUCUUGAAGUUGCUGAAUUUUAUGGAAAACUAAAUCCAACAGCUUUUCUUGAUUGAAUUAUGUCAAUGGAAGAUUACUUUGAUUGGUAUGCAAUGCCCGAAAAUAGAAAAGUUCGUUUUGUAAAGGCAAAGUUGAAAGGAGCAGCACGUCUAUGGUGGCAUAAUAUUGAGAAUCAAGUUCAUAGAACUGGCCAACCGCCUAUUGACACAUGGGACGAGAUGAAGUUGAAGAUGAAGGAGCACUUUCUCCCAACUGAUUAUGAACAAGUUAUGUAUACAAAAUUGUUUUCCCUUAAACAAUGUACCAAGUUCGUUGAAGAAUAUACAGAAGAAUUUCAUGAAUUGAGCAUUUGAAAUCAAGUGCGGGAAAGUGAUGCUCAACUUGCAGCCCGCUACAAAGCUGGACUUCGAAUGAAGAUUCAACUUGAGAUGAUAGCUACACACACUUAUACCGUAGAUGACGUUUAUCAACUAGCCCUCAAAAUAGAAAAAGGCCUCAAAUUUCGAGUUUCCAGGCGUCCAAGUUCACAAAUUGGGAGCCCUUUCUCCAACAGGACAACAAGCAAACCUUUAAGCACUACAAACUUCAGAACUUCUAAUCAUGUGAAUGGUGGGAGCAACACUCAACAAACUUCGAAUGUGACUUAUAAGAAUGGUAAUAAGGGUAAAAAUUCAAUGAGUAAUGGAGAUAGAAAAGUAGACGUGACUCCUUUAUGCUUUAAGUGUGGUGGACAUGGUCAUUAUGCUGUUGUAUGCCCAACCAAAAGUUUACACUUUUGUGUUGAAGAACCAGAAUCUGAAUUGGAAAGUUACCCAAAGGAAGAAGAGACCUACAAUGAAGAUGAAGUUAGUGAAGAAUGUGACUAUGAUGGUAUGACGGAAGGACAUAGUCUUGUAGUACGACCUUUAUUAACCGUUCCAAAAGUAAAAGGAGAAGAAGAUUGGCGACGUACUAGCAUUUUCCAAACACGUAUUUCUUGCCAAGGGAGAUUAUGCACCAUGAUCAUUGAUGGAGGUAACAAUUUGAACAUAGCCUCACAAGAACUUGUUGAGAAGCUAAACCUUAAAACAGAGAGACAUCCAAAUCCAUUCAGAGUAGCAUGGGUUAAUGACACCUUUAUCCCGGUAAGUUUUCGUUGUUUAGUAACAUUCCUUUUUGGUAAGGACUUUGAAGAGUUUGUAUGGUGUGAGGUCUUACCCAUUAAAGUAAGUCAUAUUUUACUUGGAAGACCUUGGCUCUUUGAUAAAAAAGUUCAACAUGACGGCUAUGAAAAUACAUAUGCUCUCAUACACAACGGACGUAAGAAGAUCCUUCAUCCAAUGAAAGAAGUCCCUCCAAGUAAGAAGUCAGAUGAGAAUGCAUAACCAAAAAAGGUACUUACUAUGUGUCAAUUUGAAAAUGAGAGCAAGGAAACUAAAGUUAUUUUUGCUUUAAUGGCUCGGAAAGUGGAAGAAUUUAAAGAACAAGAUAAGGAAUAUCCAAUAAACGCACGUAAAAUCCUUGAUGACUUUUCUGACUUGUGGCUUGCAAAGUUACCUAAUGAACUCCCUCCUAUGCGUAACGUACAACAUGCCAUUGAUUUGAUUCCCGGUGCAUCAUUACUAAAUUUACCAACCUACAGAAUGAAUCCAACAAAGCAUGCUGAAUUGAAAAGGCAAGUUGAUGAAUUACUUACUAAAGGCUUUAUUCGUGAAAGCCUAAGUCCUUGUGGAGUUCCUGCCCUACUAACACCAAAGAAGGAUGGAUCAUGGCGGAUGUGUGUGGAUAGUCGUGCAAUCAACAAAAUCACAAUCAAGUAUCGAUUUCCAAUUCCAAGACUUGAUGACAUGCUAGAUAUGAUGGUUGGAUCAGUAAUCUUCUCAAAGACUGAUCUAAGAAGUGGAUAUCAUCAAAUACGUAUUAGACUAGGGGAUGAAUGAAACACAUCUUUCAAAACUAAGGAUGGAUUGUAUGAGUGGUUAGUCAUGUCGUUUGGACUAACCAAUGCUCCAAGUACCUUCAUGCGGAUUAUGACGCAGGUAUUAAAACCUUUUAUUGGACGGUUUGUUGUUGUCUAUUUUGAUGAUAUUCUUAUUUAUAGUCGAUUUUGUGAAGAUCAUGAGGAACACUUGAAGCAAGUAAUGCGCACUCUUAGGGCUAAAAAGUUUUACAUUAAUUUGAAAAAAUGUACUUUCAUGAGCCCUAGUGUUGUAUUUCUUGGCUUUGUUGUGUCUUCUAAGGGUGUUGAAACAGAUCCGGAGAAGAUCAAAGCUAUUGUUGAUUGGCCAGUACCAACAAAUAUCCAUGAGGUGCGAAGCUUCCAUGGAAUGACUACAUUCUAUCGACGAUUUAUUCGAAAUUUCAACUCCAUUAUGGCCCCAAUUACUGAAUGCAUGAAACCUAAUUUAUUUAUUUGGACCAAGGCGGCCAACAAGGCAUUUGAAGAAAUCAAAUCCAAGAUGGUGAACCCUCUUAGCCCACAUCUUGAGAUCGAGUAUGUUCUUGAUGAUCAACUUGUGUCUACUCGACAAGGUGGAUACCAAAAUUUUUUGUUAAAAUGGCGAGGCAAACCACACUCUGAGAAUACAUGGAGUACGACAACGGAUUUUCAUAAGCUUAACCCCGAUCUUUAUGAGUUGUAUCAAGCGUCUAACUCGUCGGAGCCGAGUUCUUUCAAGCCGGGGAGAAUUGAUUAGGGAAAGCCUUUUAAAGUUUAUUCAAGGAAGAAAAGGAAGACCUAAGUAAACUUUAAGUAGGAUUAAUAUUAAUUAGAAUUGAAUAGGGAUUGGUAUUUGUUGGAGUCUAAUUAAGAUUAGCUAGUUGAGUUAUAAUAUAAUUAGAAUUUGAGUCAUGAUAGGUUAUUAGAGUCCUAGUAGACUUUGGAUGUUAUAAUUAGAAUUAGAAUCAUAAUAGGUUAUUAGAGUUCUAGUAGACUAUGGAUUUCUUAGAGAAGCCUAUAAAUAGGCUAAUCAAUGUAAAUCAAAGGAAUAAAUUUUGAUGAAUAAUAUUAUACUUUCUUUUAUUGCAAGAUUGCAACCCUCAAUGGUGAGAUUCCAUUGAUUUUUCUUCUAGGUGAGACUCCUACAAGGCUUUAGUGAGACUCUAAGGUUUUCCAUCUUUUCUUCAUUGUUUCUUUUUUCUCUCUAUUUCUUAUCUUAUAAUUUUCUCUACCAUAAAGUUUAUUCCUUGUUCCUCUCCUUACACCCUAAAAAUAAAACCCUAGCCCACCUACCCUUGAGUGUAGGCAACCAUCCUAGGGUUGUCCUACAUCAAU